RNAcentral lists this ribosomal RNA (249 nucleotides) under Cladophialophora boppii. Its description in RNAcentral is "partial large subunit ribosomal RNA". It matches the Rfam family "Eukaryotic large subunit ribosomal RNA", at positions 398 to 664 of the family's 3401-position model. Lineage: Eukaryota; Fungi; Ascomycota; Eurotiomycetes; Chaetothyriales; Herpotrichiellaceae. The record is from RNAcentral.
CGUGAAAUUGUUGAAAGGGAAGCGCUUGCAACCAGACUUGAGCGCGGCGGUUCCCCUAGCCUUUUGGCUAGGCUACUCCGCCGUGUCCAGGCCAACCUCGGUUCUGAGGGUCGGUUAAAGGCCUUGGGAAUGUAUCUACCUACGGGUAGACUUAUAGACCAGGGUGUCAUGCGGCCUCUCGGGACCGAGGAACGCGCUUCGGCUCGGAUGUUGGCGUAAUGGUUGUCAGCGACCCGUCUUGAAACACGG